RNA transcript from Nerophis ophidion (straightnose pipefish), 6553 nucleotides. RefSeq lists it as uncharacterized. The record is from RefSeq and is a predicted model, not a curated record. NCBI's taxonomy places the organism in Eukaryota, Metazoa, Chordata, Actinopteri, Syngnathiformes, Syngnathidae. The transcript has 3 exons.
GAGACAGCCAGGCUCCAGCACUGCUCUGAACUCGUUUGAUCCAGUUCGUCUCGCCAGGCGUUCCUCGAGAUACAUUCCUGUGGCUGGCUGGGUGCAGAGUGGGAGAGAGAGAGUGGUAAUGAGAGUGAGAGAGUGACAGCAUGGGAGACUGAGCAGUGGAAGACAAGAGAAGCGGUGGGAGGUGCGUCGUCGAGGUAAUAUCAACACGAGAAAAUAGGAAGUUAAAGCAGGAGACGAAUGGAGGCGCUGCUUCAAUUGUGACGGAGAGAAGGAAACACCAAGAGCACAAAAUUCCUCGCAUCUCCCCGAUAACCUGAACAGCCAACCAAAAAGAUGUCUACAUAGCUCCCUCUCUCCAGCCCGUCAUUCUGUUUCCAGGGCUACGGUUGGAAUCUCGCUACGCCUCAUGAGUUUGGGGCACAGGAUGGUGAAUACACGUCCUGGAUCUGAACGCCAAGGAUCAAUCUGAUGGAGUUAAUGAGAGACCCGAAAUAUGAACAAAAAACUGCUGUCUCUCUUUUCUGCUUUGCUCCCGUUAUCGGGUGACCACGGAUCAGCCUCCACGGAUGAGCCGCUAGCUGUUCAAGGUCAGGACCCGGGAUGACCACUCCUUAUGCGUCAGUCGGGCAAGUCUCUGCGCCCUGACGUGUCUACAAACCCCGUUUCCAUAUGAGUUGGGAAAUUGUGUUGGAUGUAAAUAUAAACGUAAUACAAUGAUUUGCAAAUCCUUUUCAACCCAUAUUCAGUUAAAUAUGCUACAAAUACAACAUAUUUGAUGUUCAAACUGAUGAACAUUUUUUUUGUGCAAAUAAUCAUUAACUUUAGAAUUUGAUGCCAGCAACACAAAGAAGUUGGGGAAAGGUGGCAAUAAAUACUGAUAAAGUUGAGGAAUGCUCAUAAAACACAUAUAUGGAACAUCUCACAGGUGUGCGGGCUAAUUGGGAACAGUUGGGUGCCAUAAUUGGGUAUAAAAGCAGCUUCCAUGAAAUGCUAAGUAAUUCACAAACAAGGAUGGAGUGAGGGUCACCACUUUGUAACAAAUUGUCGAACAGUUUUAGAACAACAUGUGUCAACGAGCUAUUGCAAGAAAUUUAGGGAUUUUACCAUCUAUAGUCCGUAAUAUCAUCAAAAAGUUCAGAGAAUCUGGAGAAAUCACUGAACGUAAGCGAUGAUGUUACAGACUUUUGACACCUCAGGCGGUACUGCAUCAUAAACCGACAUCAGUGUGUAAAGGAUAUCACCACACAGGCUCAGGAACACUUCAUAAAACCACUGUCAGUAACUACAAUUGGUCACUAUAUCUGUAAUUGCAAGUUAAAAUUCUACUAUGCAAAGCCAAACCCAUUUAUCAACAAUAUCUUGAAACUCCGCCGGCUUGGCUGGGCCCGAGCUCACUUAAGAUGGACUGAUGCAAAGUGGAAAGGUGUUCUGUGGUCUGAAGAGUCAAAUUAUAUUUGGAAACAGAGGAUGGGGUGUCCUCCAAAACAAAGUGGAAAAUAACCAUUCGGAUUGUUAUAGGCGCAAAGUUCAAAAGCCAGCAUCUGUGAUGGUUUGGAGGUGUAUUAGUGCCCAAGACAUGGGUAACUUACACAUCUGAGAAGGCACCAUUAAUGCUGAAUGGUCCAUACAGGUUUUGGAGCAACAUAUGUUGUCAUCCAAGCAACGUUAUCAUGGACACCCCUGCUUAUUUCAGCAAGACAAGUGUUACAACAGCGUGGCUUUGUAAAAAAAAGAGUGUGGUUACUUUCCUGGCCUGCCUGCGGUCCAGACCUGUCUCCCAUGGAAAAUGUGUGGCGCAUUAUGAAGCGUAAAAUACGACAGCGGAGACCCCGGACUGUUGAACGACUGAAGCUCUACAUAAAACAAGAAUGGGAAAGAAUUCCACAUUCAAAGCUUCAACAAUUAGUUUCCUCAGUUCCCAAAUGUUUAUUGAGUGUUGUUAAAAGAAAAGGUGAUGUAAAACAGUGGCGAACAUGUCAUUUCCCAACUACUUUGGCACAUGAAAUUCUAAGUUAAUUAUUAUUUGCAAAAAAAAAAUAAAGUUUAUGAAUUUCAACAGCAAAUAUUUUGUCUUUGUAGUGCAUUCAAUUGAAUAUGGGUUGAAAAGGAUUUUCAAAUCAUUGUAUUUCGUUUAUAUUUACAUCUAACACAAUUUCCCACCUCAUAUGGAAACGGGGUUUGUACAUUCAAGAUGAUCCCCUGCUGGCCCCACUAUGGACUGGACUCUCAUAUUAUUAACUGUAUCCACUCGACUUCGAUCACACACGGGGAGAUCCCCACAUCUCCAGUCCCUUCCAUGGUUUCUUGUUGUUCCCAUUGGGUUGAGUUUUUUCGUGCCCUGAUGUGGGAUCUGAGCAGAGGAUGUCGUCGUGGCUUGUGCAUUCCUUUGAGACAUUUGUGAUUAACUUAUGUAGAAGUUAUUUACUUAUAAGUAAAUAACUUUAAUAAAGGACUAGACCGGGGGUCAGCAACCCGGGACUCUCGGGCCGCAUGUAGCUCUUCAGCACCGCCCUGGUGGCUCCAUGGAGCAUUUUUAAAAAAGGAUUGAAAAUGGAAAAAGACGGGGUGAAAAUAUAUAUAUUUUUUGUUUUAGUAUGUUUUUUGUUUGAGGACAAACAUGACAGAAACAUUCCCAAUUGUGAGAAAGCCCACUGUUUAAUAUGUUUGUGUGUAUGCUUCACUGAUGAGAGUAUUUGGUGAACAUUGUUUUGUCCUACUAAUUUCGGUGGUUCUUGAGCUCACCAUAGUGUGGACUGUGACGCAACAGUUUCUUUACAUGUAAAAUCUUCCACUCCUUCUUUGUCUCAUUUUGUCCACCAAAAUGUGUGAAUGCACAAAGGAACCCUUUGUCCGUGUCAUUGACUUGUUGGACAGCUUAUAAGGCAUAUUGUGUCAGUGCAUGGCUGCAAGCUAAUCAAUGCUAACUUGCUAUUUAGGCUCGCUGUAUGUACAUAUUGCAUCAUUAUGCCUCAUUUGUAGGUAUAUUUGAGCUUAUUUAAUAUCCUUUACUUGUAUCCUCUUUGUAUAAAAUGUAUUUUGCAUGUCUCAUGACACGUGUAAUAAUGGCUGCAUUUCAGAUUGUUGUUUGUGUGCUAAGUUGUUCCAGACUACAGCAAACAUUACCUAGCUUGCCAAAGACUGUAAUAAAUAAAUUUAAAAAAGACAGCCUGUUGUGUCCUUUAACUUGGACACACACAUCUAUAUCGUUGGCCAUUGAAAGAAAGCCAGUAAUUUCCAGGAGUUAUCUCACCUUCUGAAUAGCCUCUGAUUUACUAAUGGUUUCUAAUGUUGUAAAAAUGUAUAGAAUAAAUAUUAAAUUUCAACAUUUCUAUCAACGAAGAUUAACUUCAGCCUGCGACACAGUCAUUUUGUAGUAAGCUAAUAUAGCUAAAGUAGACAUCAUGUGUUGCCUUCAUUAUAAGACUUAUAUAUGGCGUUUCAUUUUUGGCAGCUCCAGACAGAUUUUUUUUUCUGUAUUUUGGGUCCAAUAUGGCUCUUUCAACGUUUUGGGUUGCCGACCCCUGAACUAGACCUACCUUCAAUAGCAAAAAAAGGUCUGAUUUUACAAAACACACAUCAACUGAAGCCCAUCAACACCUACAGUAGCUCAAAAAACGUUCAUUGUUGCCUCUUGUUCAAUGUUCCUAUAGUCAGACAAUAUUUUUGGUAUAAUGGAUAGAAAUUUGUUCUGACAUGUUUCGACUGUCAUCUCCAGUCUUCUUCAGAGAGGUCACUUGUCCACUGUGACGUGUCGCCUAUUAGCUGUUCUUCAAGCAGGCAGACCUGCCAAGACUAUCUGGUUGGUUGGUGUGUGUUGGUUUUCUGUGAACAGUAACGUUUUGACUGCUUUUCUCUUUGCGGUGGAUGUUCAUGUCCAAAAAAGCUAUGAUCCGUUAAUUUCUUCUUAAUUUCCAUUCAUUUCAUCCAUUGUACCAAAAAUAUUGUCUGACAAGCGGUAAAAAAAAUGGACGGAUGGAGGGAUAGAAAAUUGAAAGGCCAUCAACACCUCUACGAUUAGAAUUUUACUGAUUAGGGCUGGUCUAUGAAAACUGAUUCACAAUGUAAGUUUUUAUGAUGCUCAAUUUUGAUCAUUAUUGAUAUUUUAUGACCUACAGUACAGGUCAAAAGUUUGGACGGACCUUCUCAUUCUUUAUUUUCAUGACUAUUUACGUUGUAGAUUGUCACGGAAGGCAUGAAAACUCUGUAUGAACAAAUUGUUAUAUUCCGGUGGUAACCCACAAGUUCUUCCCAGAACUUGCGAAUCAGGUCCAGCUCUCCGUUCACAGGGUCCCGUCCUCUCGGCGAGGUCAGUCUUACCAAGCUGCUCCACCGACAAGACUCUACUCAGCUGGAUGGCGAAGCAAUUUUCGCCUGGUUCUAACUACCCUCUAGUUCAGCGUCUGUCCCACUUACUAUUGUGGUCGACUCGGCUGAGAAGCCUAUCUCGUAAGGCCGAGUCAAACCUCAAACCCCGCUGUUUUCGAUAGCUUGCCUCGAAUGAAUCUUGGCUCUUGUUACUGACUAGGUUAAAUUUGAGGGCUGAGAAUGGAAUGGAGAGCCCUUCAGGACAUAUGUGUAAGUGGAUUGACUUAGAGCGACCUUUCAGGGAUUUGCAGUAUACACUGGAUUUCUAUCUUUUUACGUCAAGAACGUGAUGGUACGGUAAGGGAUAAAAUCUUGGUUAUUUUGUAAUGGUAUUUAUUGCAGGCCCAAUAGCCUAAGCGUUGCACAGCGUCAAUAAUCAUUCACAUAAAAUUGUAAAAAUGUAUAUAAAUUAAAAUCAAUGUAAUCUCUAAUUCAGUUUAAGUUGGAGUUCAGUUCGUUUCUUACUGUGCAAGGUUCUUUGGGGAAUGUCCGAAAAAGUCCGAAAAGUGUCUCUUUGUUUGAAAGAAGCAGGGUAGGUCACAGGAUCAGGGCAACCGCACCCAGGCUCUGGCUGCUCCACAGAAGAGGAAGCCCGGAGGACCAGCUUAGACCAAGAGCUGGUGCUUGAGUGGGCGACGCCCUUGAUGUGGCAUUAUGUACUUAACAAAAAAAGGUGAAAUAACUGAAAACAUAUUUUUUAUUCUAGUGUCUUCAAAAUAGCCACCCUUCGCUUUGAUUACUGCUUUGCACACUCUUGGCAUUCUCUCGAUGAGCUUCAAGAGGUAGUCAACUGAAAUGGUUUUCACUUCAAAAGGUGUCAUAGUUUUGAUGCCUUCUGCGACAAUCUACAAUGUAAAUAGUCAUGAAAAUAAAGAACACACAUUGAAAUGAAAAGGUGUCCAGACUUUUGGCCUGUACCUGUAUGUACAAAUACUUUUCUUCUCUAAAAUUUGGUGGGUGUGGCUUGAAUACCGAUGCGUUCCAUAGCCAGAAAUGUACAGUAUGCACAUGUGUAAAAAUGUUUUAUUUUUAUUUUUUUAAAGAAAAUACAAUCAUAAUAUAAUAUGAUGACAUCAUAUUGACACUGCCACAAGUAUAUUGGCAAUCCGUAGGAAACACUGAGCUGGGAUGGUGCUUUCCAUGACCUAGACAUAGUAGAACUUCAAAAUGUGAAAAUUGAUGAUCGGCACAGCUGUACUUUUAGCCACAGCACACUAUAUUUCAAUCAGUCAAUCAAAGUGUAGUUGUAUAGCCCUUAAUAACAAGUGGCUCAAAGGGCUUCACAAGCCACAAAAACAUCUCUUAUUCUGAAUCCACUUUUCAACAAGUGUCACUUAAAAAUCUACAACCACUUGUUGCCCUUUUUUCUCCAAAGUAACAUUUCCAUGAUUUUUUUCCCCAUUGAUGACAUUUUUGUCUUUUUAAAUAUUAACAAUUACAAGCCUCAAGCAUGGUACACACACACACAAACAAACACACACACACACACACAAACACAAGUCCCCACUCUACCAACUCAUUCAGCCAGUGAACAUACAGUAAUUACAGACUUGGUAUUGGAGUACCCCUGACCGAAUAGCAUGCAGUACUUUUAGGACAUAUCAACAUUCACAUACACCCAGAAAGUACCCUUUUUCAACAGCAUGAUGAUGUAUUUUCAUUGAUGUUCAAUCGUUCGUGUCUGAGAGUUAACAACAAUGCAAUAUUGGAUUCCUGGGCUUAUAUGGUCGGAUGUCAUUAUCCUCUUCUAAAGAAUUAAAUUUGUUGGAUUAUCUAAAAAAAAAAAUCAAGACCUCCCUGAAUGAUUUUUAUUCAAAUAGUUUGUCAGGGGAUUACAAUGUAAGCUGUUUUACUUAGUACACUGUUAGACAAACUCAAGGCCCGGAGGCCAGAUCUGGCCCACAACAUAAUUUUAUCUGGCCCGCAAACACCUGGAAAUGAUAUGUGUUAAUAAAGUACUUAAUAUUUUCUUACUAAAUUACAUUAGACUCAUUUUGACAGAAAAAAUAUAUGUACUGUUUAAAAUUGCAUACCUUUUAAACGAUAAUAGUAUCCAAUAUAUCCAAUAAUAUCUUAAAAAAAACUCAUUUGUAUACUCUCGCCUUUAAAUAAACCCCCCUUUUAGACCAAUUGAUCUGCAGUUUCUUUUCUUCUCCGUCCCCCCUCUCCUUCGCGGAGGGGGGGGGGG